Molecule: unclassified non-coding RNA, 379 nt
Filed under: uncultured Bacteriovoracaceae bacterium
Lineage: Bacteria; Pseudomonadati; Bdellovibrionota; Bacteriovoracia; Bacteriovoracales; Bacteriovoracaceae
Description: contains 16S-23S intergenic spacer region
Source: RNAcentral
UCCGAGUUGACCCCGGCAGUCUCGUCAGAGUGCCCAACUUAAUGCUGGCAACAGACGAUAGGGGUUGCGCUCGUUGCGAGACUUAACCCAACAUUUCACAACACGAGCUGACGACAGCCAUGCAGCACCUCUCACUACAUUUCCUUGCGGACACUCCGGCCAUUACGCCGGAUUCGUAGGAGUUCAAGCCUAGGUAAGGUUCUGCGCGUUGCUUCGAAUUAAACCACAUAAUCCACCGCUUGUGCGGGCCCCCGUCAAUUUGUUUGAGUUUUUGUCUUGCGACCGUACUCCCCAGGCGGAAUACUUAAUGCGUUAGCUGCGUCACUGAGGGAGUCAAUACCCCCAAUAACUAGUAUUCAUCGUUUAGGGCGUGGACUAC